Molecule: ribosomal RNA, 891 nt
Filed under: Triticum aestivum (bread wheat)
Lineage: Eukaryota; Viridiplantae; Streptophyta; Magnoliopsida; Poales; Poaceae
Description: partial small subunit ribosomal RNA
Source: RNAcentral
AUGAAAUUCUCCUCCAAAAUUCUGCAACACCCAAAUGUCCCUUGGACUCAGUGGUAUAACCACCAACACCCUCUUGGCAUUGCUACAAAAACUCCACGACCCUCCUUUUUAUGGAAAAUUAUCAACAACAACUUGCCACUGCUAAUUGAGCACUCCUUUGUGAUCACAUAUAAUGGCCUCUCCACUUUCUUCUGGCUUGAUAAAUGGCUUCUACAGUCACCGCUACAAAAAGUUUUCCCAAACCUCUUCUCACACUCCAUUGAUGACAAGGUUUUAGUGGCUACUGUUUGGCAAACCAGCUUAUUGGCGAACCUACGGAACCGUCUGUCUAAUGCUGCUGCUCGCGAGCUGGAUUGUGUGAUGUUGUUGUUGCAGGACUUCCACCAGGUCGACCAACCGGACGAACGUUCUCUCACCCAUGGCCUGCCGUUCUCUGCCAAGAAUGCAUACUCCUCCAUUGUUGCUGAAGAUUUCACCGACCCGCACUAUGAUCUUGUUUGGGCCUCCAAAGUCCCGAUCAAGGUCAAGAUCUUUGCAUGGCUACUUCUCCGCGAUCGGCUGAACACGAAGGCAAACUUGUUUCACAAGCACAUUGCACAGUCAGCCGCAUGCCCUCGCUGUCAAGACCCUCAUGAAGAUGCCCUACACCUCAUCUCCAACUAUUCUUACGCUACACAAGUCUGGUCCUCCUUGGGACUGCAGGCUCCAACAUCUCUUGAUGAUGUGCUUCAACACCCAACGCUUCAAGGCCUCAACCCCAACAUAUGGCCGUCGGUCGCACUGUCUAUCUCUUGGAAACUAUGGGACUCAAGGAACGCUCUAGUAUUCAGGAACGACGAUCACUCCCUCAGGACCACGCUACGAAACAUUGUUGCUGAUUUCUCUCUAUGA